This 553-nucleotide ribosomal RNA is filed under the name uncultured bacterium. Its description in RNAcentral is "bacterial SSU rRNA". It matches the Rfam family "Bacterial small subunit ribosomal RNA", at positions 920 to 1470 of the family's 1533-position model. The record is from RNAcentral.
CCCGCACAAGCGGUGGAGCAUGUGGUUCAAUUCGAAGCAACGCGCAGAACCUUACCAGCCUUUGACAUCCCGGUCGCGGGCACCAGAGAUGGAGCCUUUCAGUUCGGCUGGACCGGAGACAGGUGCUGCAUGGCUGUCGUCAGCUCGUGUCGUGAGAUGUUGGGUUAAGUCCCGCAACGAGCGCAACCCUCGCCCUUAGUUGCCAUCAUUUAGUUGGGCACUCUAAGGGGACUGCCGGUGAUAAGCCGCGAGGAAGGUGGGGAUGACGUCAAGUCCUCAUGGCCCUUACAGGCUGGGCUACACACGUGCUACAAUGGCGGUGACAAUGGGACGCAAUGGGGAAACCCUGCGCAAAUCUCAAAAAGCCGUCUCAGUUCGGAUUGUGCUCUGCAACUCGAGCACAUGAAGUUGGAAUCGCUAGUAAUCGCAGAUCAGCACGCUGCGGUGAAUACGUUCCCGGGCCUUGUACACACCGCCCGUCACACCAUGGGAGUUGGCUUUACCUGAAGACGGUGCGCUAACCGCAAGGGAGCAGCCGGCCACGGUAGGGUCA